CCUACGGGAGGCAGCAGUGAGGAAUAUUGGACAAUGGGCGCAAGCCUGAUCCAGCCAUGCCGCGUGCAGGAAGAAGCAUCUAUGGUGUGUAAACUGCUUUUGUACGGGAAGAAACACUCCCUCGUGUAGGAGCUUGACGGUACCGUAAGAAUAAGGAUCGGCUAACUCCGUGCCAGCAGCCGCGGUAAUACGGAGGAUCCAAGCGUUAUCCGGAAUCAUUGGGUUUAAAGGGUCCGUAGGCGGUUUAAUAAGUCAGUGGUGAAAUCUGGUCGCUCAACGAUCAAACGGCCAUUGAUACUGUUAGACUUGAAUUACUGGGAAGUAACUAGAAUAUGUAGUGUAGCGGUGAAAUGCUUAGAUAUUACAUGGAAUACCAAUUGCGAAGGCAGGUUACUACCAGUGGAUUGACGCUGAUGGACGAAAGCGUGGGGAGCGAAC
RNAcentral lists this ribosomal RNA (438 nucleotides) under Flavobacterium buctense. RNAcentral's name for it is "bacterial SSU rRNA". It matches the Rfam family "Bacterial small subunit ribosomal RNA", at positions 338 to 773 of the family's 1533-position model. Lineage: Bacteria; Pseudomonadati; Bacteroidota; Flavobacteriia; Flavobacteriales; Flavobacteriaceae. The record is from RNAcentral.